GACGAACGCUGGCGGCGUGCCUAAUGCAUGCAAGUCGCACGCGGCACCUUCGGGUGCUGAGUGGCGAACGGCUGAGGAACACGUGGGGACCUGUCCGGGAGUGGGGGACAACACCGCGAAAGCGGUGCUAAUCCCGCAUACGCUCUGAGGAGGAAAGACGAAAGGCGGUGCCGGGUGGCCCUGCGGCCCAUCAGGUUGGUGGUGGGGUAACAGCCUAACAAGCCAAUGACGGGGCGCCGGUCUGGGAGGACGACCAACCCGCCGGGGACUGGGACACGGCCCAGACACCUACGGGAGGGAGCAGCAAGGAAUUUUAGGCAAUGGGCGCAAGCCUGAACGAGCAACGGCGCGUGCAGGAAGACGGCCUUCGGGUUGUAAACUGCUUUUGCUAGGGAUGACAACAGACAGUACCUGGCGAAUCAGCCCCGGCUAACUCUGUG
This 440-nucleotide ribosomal RNA is filed under the name uncultured bacterium. RNAcentral describes it as "partial 16S ribosomal RNA". It matches the Rfam family "Bacterial small subunit ribosomal RNA", at positions 28 to 507 of the family's 1533-position model. The record is from RNAcentral.